RNAcentral lists this transfer RNA (31 nucleotides) under Swertia alba. RNAcentral's name for it is "partial tRNA-His". Lineage: Eukaryota; Viridiplantae; Streptophyta; Magnoliopsida; Gentianales; Gentianaceae. The record is from RNAcentral.
GGCCGCAGGAAUCAACGGGUAUAUCCUUCCC